RNAcentral lists this ribosomal RNA (497 nucleotides) under uncultured bacterium. RNAcentral's name for it is "partial 16S ribosomal RNA". It matches the Rfam family "Bacterial small subunit ribosomal RNA", at positions 28 to 507 of the family's 1533-position model. The record is from RNAcentral.
GAUGAACGCUUGCGGCGUGCCUAAUACAUGCCAGUCGAGCGAACGGACGAGAAGCUUGCUUCUCUGAUGUUAGCGGCGGACGGGUGAGUAACACGUGGAUAACCUACCUAUAAGACUGGGAUAACUUCGGGAAACCGUAGCUAAUACCGGAUAAUAUUUUGCACCGCAUGGUUCAAAAGUGAAAGACGGUCUUGCUGUCACUUAUAGCUGGAUCCGCGCUGCAUUAGCUAGUUGGUAAGGUAACGGCUUACCAAGGCAACGAUGCAUAGCCGACCUGAGAGGGUGAUCGGCCACACUGGAACUGAGACACGGUCCAGACUCCUACGGGAGGCAGCAGUAGGGAAUCUUCCGCAAUGGGCGAAAGCCUGACGGAGCAACGCCGCGUGAGUGAUGAAGGUCUUCGGAUCGUAAAACUCUGUUAUUAGGGAAGAACAUAUGUGUAAGUAACUGUGCACAUCUUGACGGUACCUAAUCAGAAAGCCACGGCUAACUACGUG